UGAAGGACGUUACUAACGACGAUAUGCUUUGGGGAGCUGUAAGUAAGCUUUGAUCCAGAGAUUUCCGAAUGGGGAAACCCAGCAUGAGUUAUGUCAUGUUAUCGAUAUGUGAAUACAUAGCAUAUCAGAAGGCACACCCGGAGAACUGAAACAUCUUAGUACCCGGAGGAAGAGAAAGAAAAUUCGAUUCCCUUAGUAGCGGCGAGCGAAACGGGAAGAGCCCAAACCAACAAGCUUGCUUGUUGGGGUUGUAGGACACUCUAUACGGAGUUACAAAGGACGACAUUAGACGAAUCAUCUGGAAAGAUGAAUCAAAGAAGGUAAUAAUCCUGUAGUCGAAAAUGUUGUCUCUCUUGAGUGGAUCCUGAGUACGACGGAGCACGUGAAAUUCCGUCGGAAUCUGGGAGGACCAUCUCCUAAGGCUAAAUACUCUCUAGUGACCGAUAGUGAACCAGUACCGUGAGGGAAAGGUGAAAAGCACCCCGGAAGGGGAGUGAAAUAGAACCUGAAACCGUGUGCUUACAAGUAGUCAGAGCCCGUUAAUGGGUGAUGGCGUGCCUUUUGUAGAAUGAACCGGCGAGUUACGAUUUGAUGCAAGGUUAAGCAGUAAAUGUGGAGCCGUAGCGAAAGCGAGUCUGAAUAGGGCGUUUAGUAUUUGGUCGUAGACCCGAAACCAGGUGAUCUACCCUUGGUCAGGUUGAAGUUCAGGUAACACUGAAUGGAGGACCGAACCGACUUACGUUGAAAAGUGAGCGGAUGAACUGAGGGUAGCGGAGAAAUUCCAAUCGAACCUGGAGAUAGCUGGUUCUCUCCGAAAUAGCUUUAGGGCUAGCCUCAAGUGAUGAUUAUUGGAGGUAGAGCACUGUUUGGACGAGGGGCCCCUCUCGGGUUACCGAAUUCAGACAAACUCCGAAUGCCAAUUAAUUUAACUUGGGAGUCAGAACAUGGGUGAUAAGGUCCGUGUUCGAAAGGGAAACAGCCCAGACCACCAGCUAAGGUCCCAAAAUAUAUGUUAAGUGGAAAAGGAUGUGGCGUUGCCCAGACAACUAGGAUGUUGGCUUAGAAGCAGCCAUCAUUUAAAGAGUGCGUAAUAGCUCACUAGUCGAGUGACACUGCGCCGAAAAUGUACCGGGGCUAAACAUAUUACCGAAGCUGUGGAUUGUCCUUUGGACAAUGGUAGGAGAGCGUUCUAAGGGCGUUGAAGCAUGAUCGUAAGGACAUGUGGAGCGCUUAGAAGUGAGAAUGCCGGUGUGAGUAGCGAAAGACGGGUGAGAAUCCCGUCCACCGAUUGACUAAGGUUUCCAGAGGAAGGCUCGUCCGCUCUGGGUUAGUCGGGUCCUAAGCUGAGGCCGACAGGCGUAGGCGAUGGAUAACAGGUUGAUAUUCCUGUACCACCUAUAAUCGUUUUAAUCGAUGGGGGGACGCAGUAGGAUAGGCGAAGCGUGCGAUUGGAUUGCACGUCUAAGCAGUAAGGCUGAGUAUUAGGCAAAUCCGGUACUCGUUAAGGCUGAGCUGUGAUGGGGAGAAGACAUUGAGUCUUCGAGUCGUUGAUUUCACACUGCCGAGAAAAGCCUCUAGAUAGAAAAUAGGUGCCCGUACCGCAAACCGACACAGGUAGUCAAGAUGAGAAUUCUAAGGUGAGCGAGCGAACUCUCGUUAAGGAACUCGGCAAAAUGACCCCGUAACUUCGGGAGAAGGGGUGCUCUUUAGGGUUAACGCCCAGAAGAGCCGCAGUGAAUAGGCCCAAGCGACUGUUUAUCAAAAACACAGGUCUCUGCUAAACCGUAAGGUGAUGUAUAGGGGCUGACGCCUGCCCGGUGCUGGAAGGUUAAGAGGAGUGGUUAGCUUCUGCGAAGCUACGAAUCGAAGCCCCAGUAAACGGCGGCCGUAACUAUAACGGUCCUAAGGUAGCGAAAUUCCUUGUCGGGUAAGUUCCGACCCGCACGAAAGGCGUAACGAUUUGGGCACUGUCUCAACGAGAGACUCGGUGAAAUCAUAGUACCUGUGAAGAUGCAGGUUACCCGCGACAGGACGGAAAGACCCCGUGGAGCUUUACUGUAGCCUGAUAUUGAAAUUCGGCACAGCUUGUACAGGAUAGGUAGGAGCCUUUGAAACGUGAGCGCUAGCUUACGUGGAGGCGCUGGUGGGAUACUACCCUAGCUGUGUUGGCUUUCUAACCCGCACCACUUAUCGUGGUGGGAGACAGUGUCA
RNAcentral lists this ribosomal RNA (2211 nucleotides) under Staphylococcus aureus. Its description in RNAcentral is "partial 23S ribosomal RNA". It matches the Rfam family "Bacterial large subunit ribosomal RNA", at positions 50 to 2259 of the family's 2925-position model. The record is from RNAcentral. Lineage: Bacteria; Bacillati; Bacillota; Bacilli; Caryophanales; Staphylococcaceae.